This 497-nucleotide ribosomal RNA is filed under the name uncultured bacterium. RNAcentral's name for it is "partial 16S ribosomal RNA". It matches the Rfam family "Bacterial small subunit ribosomal RNA", at positions 28 to 507 of the family's 1533-position model. The record is from RNAcentral.
GAUGAACGCUGGCGGCGUGCCUAAUACAUGCAAGUCGAGCGAACGGACGAGAAGCUUGCUUCUCUGAUGUUAGCGGCGGACGGGUGAGUAACACGUGGAUAACCUACCUAUAAGACUGGGAUAACUUCGGGAAACCGGAGCUAAUACCGGAUAAUAUUUUGAACCGCAUGGUUCAAAAGUGAAAGACGGUCUUGCUGUCACUUAUAGAUGGAUCCGCGCUGCAUUAGCUAGUUGGUAAGGUAACGGCUUACCAAGGCAACGAUGCAUAGCCGACCUGAGAGGGUGAUCGGCCACACUGGAACUGAGAAACGGUCCAGACUCCUACGGGAGGCAGCAGUAGGGAAUCUUACGCAAUGGGCGAAAGCCUGACGGAGCAACGCCGCGUGAGGGAUGAAGGUCUUCGGAUCGUAAAACUCUGUUAUUAGUGAAGAACAAAUGUGUAAGUAACUGUGCACAUCUUGACGGUACCUGAUCAGAAAGCCACGGCUAACUACGUG